This 208-nucleotide ribosomal RNA is filed under the name uncultured bacterium. Its description in RNAcentral is "partial 16S ribosomal RNA". It matches the Rfam family "Bacterial small subunit ribosomal RNA", at positions 1285 to 1500 of the family's 1533-position model. The record is from RNAcentral.
GUCUCAGUUCGGAUUGGAGUCUGNAACCCGACUCCAUGAAGCUGGAUUCGCUAGUAAUCGCGCAUCAGCCACGGCGCGGUGAAUACGUUCCCGGGCCUUGUACACACCGCCCGUCAAGCCAUGGAAGCCGGGGGUGCCUGAAGUGCGCUGCCGCGAGGAGCGCCCUAGGGUAAAACCGGUGACUGGGGCUAAGUCGUAACAAGGUAGC